Molecule: ribosomal RNA, 367 nt
Filed under: uncultured Crater Lake bacterium CL0-102
Lineage: Bacteria
Description: bacterial SSU rRNA
Rfam family: Bacterial small subunit ribosomal RNA
Source: RNAcentral
CAGCCGCACUGGGACUGAGACACGGCCCAGACUCCUACGGGAGGCAGCAGUGGGGAAUUUUGGACAAUGGGCGAAAGCCUGAUCCAGCAAUGCCGCGUGUGGGAAGAAGGCCUUCGGGUUGUAAACCACUUUUGUACGGAACGAAACGGUUCGCUUUAAUACAGUGGGCUAAUGACGGUACCGUAAGAAUAAGCACCGGCUAACUACGUGCCAGCAGCCGCGGUAAUACGUAGGGUGCGAGCGUUAAUCGGAAUUACUGGGCAUAAAGCGUGCGCAGGCGGCUAUAUAAGACAGUUGUGAAAUCCCCGGGCUCAACCUGGGAAUUGCAUCUGUGACUGUAUAGCUAGAGUACGGUAGAGGGGAUGGA